Molecule: long non-coding RNA, 667 nt
Organism: Mus pahari (shrew mouse)
Lineage: Eukaryota; Metazoa; Chordata; Mammalia; Rodentia; Muridae
Exons: 4
Source: RefSeq, a predicted model, not a curated record
UCCUCCCUCCCACCCACCCUCCUCUGGGAUUCUUGCAAGUAUCGUGCGUGCCCUUGUGAGUUUGGAGGGUGCCGGUCAACGAAGCCACGCGAGGUAUUUGAAAGGCAAUCAGCCCGACCGUCCCCCUAGAUUCAUCGAAGCUGGGACAUCUCCUUUGGCCGUGGCAACCAUGUGAUUCAUUUGGGAAUGAAGAUGAUGACCAUUAAGGAGCCACUUGGAUCCGAUGAAGGCAGUGGCCACUGAGAGGGAGAAGGAACUCGGUGAAUAUUGCCCUGGGUCCUGGUAAUUCCACCUACUGAAGACAGCUGCCCCUUCUGCUCAUAUUUCCUGAGUCAACAUGGCCACUCUUAACUUUAAAGAGACUUUAGACAUUCUUUGUUACAAUGAACCUAGAAGAAAGAAGAGAAAUAAUAACUGCCAUGGAAGGAUGCUCCUCCUGCCAAUUGGCACUUAUCAAUGACAUCGAGGGAGAGGGACAGAGUGCCUAGGUAUGAGCCUUCAUCAAGUGGUAUGAAGGCCCUACCCCAACAGAAAGUGCUCAUGUGAAGAAAUGAUGCUUUGGACAAGACUUUCCUCCAAGUUGGUCCUAUCCAGGGGUUGGCAAAUAGGGUCCCUGGACAUCAUCCUUGUUGCGUACUCUUAUGAAUAAAGUUCUAUAGGACACAGA